This 252-nucleotide ribosomal RNA is filed under the name uncultured bacterium. RNAcentral describes it as "partial 16S ribosomal RNA". It matches the Rfam family "Bacterial small subunit ribosomal RNA", at positions 524 to 776 of the family's 1533-position model. The record is from RNAcentral.
GACGAACCGUCCAAACGUUAUUCGGAAUCACUGGGCUUACAGAGUUCGUAGGCGGUCUGGAAAGUUGGGUGUGAAAUCCCUCGGCUCAACCGAGGAACUGCGCUUGAAACUACCAGACUCGAGGGAGAUAGAGGAAAGCGGAACUGAUGGUGGAGCGGUGAAAUGCGUUGAUAUCAUCAGGAACACCGGUGGCGAAGGCGCUUUCUGGGUCUUACCUGACGCUGAGGAACGAAAGCCAGGGGAGCGAACGGG